RNAcentral lists this ribosomal RNA (253 nucleotides) under uncultured bacterium. RNAcentral describes it as "partial 16S ribosomal RNA". It matches the Rfam family "Bacterial small subunit ribosomal RNA", at positions 524 to 776 of the family's 1533-position model. The record is from RNAcentral.
UACGUAGGGACCGAGCGUUGUCCGGAUUCAUUGGGCGUAAAGAGCUCGUAGGCGGCUGUUCAAGUCGAACGUGAAAACUCGGAGCUCAACUCCGAGCCUGCGUUCGAUACUGGACGGCUAGAGUCUGGUAGGGGGAUCUGGAAUUCCUGGUGUAGCGGUGGAAUGCGCAGAUAUCAGGAGGAACACCGGUGGCGAAGGCGGGAUCCUGGGCCACUACUGACGCUGAGAAGCGAAAGCAUGGGGAGCGAACAGG